GAGCACGUAGGUGGGUUUGUAAGUCAGAUGUGAAAGCCUUCUGUUCAACGGAAGAAUUGCAUCUGAAACUGCGAGUCUUAAGUGUAGGAGGGGAGAAUGGAACUUCUGGUGGAGCGGUGAAAUGCGUAGAUAUCAGAAGGAACGCCGGCGGCGAAAGCGAUUCUCUGGCCUAUUACUGACACUCAGUGUGCGAAAGCUAGGGGAGCAAACGGGAUUAGAUACCCCGGUAGUCCUAGCCGUAAACGAUGGGCACUAAGUAGAGGGAAUUACCGAUGUUCUCUCUGCCGUAGCUAACGCAUUAAGUGCCCCGCCUGGGGAGUACGGCCGCAAGGCUAAAACUCAAAAGAAUUGACGGGGGCUCGCACAAGCGGUGGAGCAUGUGGCUUAAUUCGAUGCAACGCGAAGAACCUUACCGGGGCUUGACAUGGUAGAAGUAGGAACCCGAAAGGGUAACGAACGGUAUCCAGUCCGUAGCUAUCACAGGUGUUGCAUGGCUGUCGUCAGCUCGUGUCGUGAGACGUUUGGGUUAAGUCCCCUAACGAGCGAAACCCUUGUUUUUAAGUUACCAGCGGGUUGUGCCCGGGUACUCUAGAAAGACUGCCGUCGUCAAGACGGAGGAAGGUGGGGAUGACGUCAAGGUCAUCAUGGGCCCUUAUGCCCCGGGGCUG
This 668-nucleotide ribosomal RNA is filed under the name uncultured Candidatus Scalindua sp. Its description in RNAcentral is "bacterial SSU rRNA". It matches the Rfam family "Bacterial small subunit ribosomal RNA", at positions 565 to 1216 of the family's 1533-position model. Lineage: Bacteria; Pseudomonadati; Planctomycetota; Candidatus Brocadiia; Candidatus Brocadiales; Candidatus Scalinduaceae. The record is from RNAcentral.